AGGCUCCUAAAUCUAAUAAUACAUAGGCUUUGUAAUGUAUAGGACCUAAAAUAUUAUUCAAUGUAAAACAAAGAGAGGAUUUUAGGGAGAGAAUAGGACCUUCAUUAGAUAUUGUAUAAUUUUUCAGCCGCACGGUCCCUAUUAUAGCUGGACAAACUUGUUUUCUGAUAUAUUAUCUUCUUUGACAUUUGUACACCUCAUUUUAUAAUUUUGUCACUAGUUUAGAUAAUAUUGAGCAAUGUACUUAGGUUCUCCACAAUACAAGCAUAAUCUUUUUUGACAACGAUGAAUCUUUUUUUGCUCAAUAAGAUGUUUAAAAUGUACUACAUCAAUUUGCAUAUCCACUAUUGUUGAAUGUAUGCAUUGAAAAGGCAU
RNAcentral lists this long non-coding RNA (375 nucleotides) under Physcomitrium patens. RNAcentral describes it as "long non-coding RNA (PPAT_LNC013369)". Lineage: Eukaryota; Viridiplantae; Streptophyta; Bryopsida; Funariales; Funariaceae. The record is from RNAcentral.